Non-coding RNA from Raphidiopsis brookii D9, 72 nucleotides. Lineage: Bacteria; Bacillati; Cyanobacteriota; Cyanophyceae; Nostocales; Aphanizomenonaceae. The record is from Rfam.
GCCAGCAUAGCACAGCGGUAGUGCAUCCGACUUGUAAUCGGAAGGUCGUCAGUUCAAUCCUGACUGCUGGCU